GGAUUACAGGGAAGGUCAUAUGAUAGCUGCUUAAUAAAAUUUGCUGAUCGAAUGAAGGAGCUAAUGAAUUCAAUAAAAUCAGGGAAGGCUUCUUGGAGGAGGAGCACCUUGCUCCAGUGGGCUGAGAAGACAUUCCAUGAGACCAGAGCAAGGAGAGGAGUGGCCUGGCAGCUGAAGCCAGAGACAGACUUGAACCUGGAGGUUUAUAAGGGGUUCUGAGCAGAGCCCUGGAACUGGUUCUUGGCAUCUACGCAGAUGGGACAUCACAGAGGGGCUAAAGGACGGAGCCUAGGGCAGCAGGGUGAGGCUCAAGGAAAUAAUGUAGCAACUACUGAGGCCAGCAAGGGGCUGAGUCCAAAUCAGAUGAAUACCAUAGAACAUUUACCUUUUUGAGAGUUAAAUCUGUGUGGAGGAGGAAAGGAGGAGAGACUAGAAGCGGAGAGGCCCUUUGGAGGCUCUGGUUCAGGCAAAAAAGGAU
Molecule: long non-coding RNA, 478 nt
Filed under: Homo sapiens (human)
Lineage: Eukaryota; Metazoa; Chordata; Mammalia; Primates; Hominidae
Description: long non-coding RNA NONHSAT219973.1
Source: RNAcentral